GUGUUAAGGAUAAGGUUGGAAAUCUCUCUUGAUAAGGGUAGAAAAGGUUCUAGUGACCAUUACAGCACAUACAUAAUUAAAGCAUUGCAACCUCCUCUGUGGGUUUUAACCUUAUUUUUAU
This is a small nuclear RNA of Phascolarctos cinereus (koala), 121 nucleotides long. The record is from Ensembl. Lineage: Eukaryota; Metazoa; Chordata; Mammalia; Diprotodontia; Phascolarctidae.